This is a non-coding RNA of Asterophora parasitica, 106 nucleotides long. The record is from the annotation of a GenBank genome assembly. NCBI's taxonomy places the organism in Eukaryota, Fungi, Basidiomycota, Agaricomycetes, Agaricales, Lyophyllaceae.
GGUGAGAUGGCUGAGCUGUCUAAGGUACCAGACUAAGGACCAAUGCGUUCGACGCGUACCUUGAAUCUGGUCAUUCGGGGCGUGAGUUCGAAUCUCACAGUUGUCA